Molecule: ribosomal RNA, 215 nt
Filed under: Vibrio cholerae
Lineage: Bacteria; Pseudomonadati; Pseudomonadota; Gammaproteobacteria; Vibrionales; Vibrionaceae
Description: partial 16S ribosomal RNA
Rfam family: Bacterial small subunit ribosomal RNA
Source: RNAcentral
UUAAUUGAAGAGUUUGAUCAUGGCUCAGAUUGAACGCUGGCGGCAGGCCUAACACAUGCAAGUCGAGCGGCAGCACAGAGGAACUUGUUCCUUGGGUGGCGAGCGGCGGACGGGUGAGUAAUGCCUGGGAAAUUGCCCGGCAGAGGGGGAUAACCAUUGGAAACGAUGGCUAAUACCGCAUAACCUCGCAAGAGCAAAGCAGGGGACCUUCGGGC